This 195-nucleotide unclassified non-coding RNA is filed under the name Glomus sp. RNAcentral describes it as "partial contains 5.8S ribosomal RNA and internal transcribed spacer 2". The record is from RNAcentral. Lineage: Eukaryota; Fungi; Glomeromycota; Glomeromycetes; Glomerales; Glomeraceae.
GUGAAUCAUCGAAUUUUUGAACGCAAAUUGCACUCUCCUCGGAGACGAUGCCUGUUUGAGGGUCAGCCUAUAAAAAAUCGACAUCGUUGCUGUUUCGCGGUGUCGUUCGUCGGAAAUUGGGCCAUCUUAAAUCCUUUUGGUUUUUAGCAGACUUAAAAUUAUCAUUUUGGUUCCAUGAACGCUUCUAAGAUUUAU